GGAACAUGUGGUUUAAGUCGAUGAUACGCGAGGAACCUUACCUGGGCUUAAAUGUACGAUGCAUAAGUGUGAUAGCACUUUGUCCUUCGGGACUUUGUACAAGGUGCUGCAUGGUUGUCGUCAGCUCGUGCCGUGAGGUGUCGGGUUAAGUCCCAUGACGAGCUCAACCCCUAUUGUUAGUUACCAGCGCGUAAAGGCGGGGACUCUAGCGAAACUGCCGGUCUCCACCGCGAGGAAGGUGGGGAUGACGUCAAAUCAGCACGGCCCUUAUGUCCAGGGCUACACACGUGUUACAAUGGCCGGUACAGCGGGCAGCGAGGCAGCGAUGCCGAGCGAAUCUCGAAAGCCGGUCCCAGUUCGGAUUGGAGUCUGCAACCCGACUCCAUGAAGGUGGAAUCGCUAGUAAUCGCGCAUCACCCAUGGCGCGGUGAUACGUUCCCGGGCCUUGUACACACCGCCCGUCAAGCCAUGGAAGUCUGGGGUGCCUAAAGNCCGUAAGCGCGAGGAGCGGUCUAG
This 516-nucleotide ribosomal RNA is filed under the name uncultured organism. Its description in RNAcentral is "bacterial SSU rRNA". It matches the Rfam family "Bacterial small subunit ribosomal RNA", at positions 934 to 1460 of the family's 1533-position model. The record is from RNAcentral.